UUGAACGCUGGCGGCAUGCUUUACACAUGCCAGUCGAACGGCAGCGCGGGCUUCGGCCUGGCGGCGAGUGGCGAACGGGUGAGUAAUACAUCGGAACGUGCCCAGUAGUGGGGGAUAGCUCGGCGAAAGCCGGAUUAAUACCGCAUACGACCUGAGGGUGAAAGCGGGGGAUCUUCGGACCUCGCGCUAUUGGAGCGGCCGAUGGCAGAUUAGCUAGUUGGUGGGGUAAAGGCCUACCAAGGCGACGAUCUGUAGCUGGUCUGAGAGGACGACCAGCCACACUGGGACUGAGACACGGCCCAGACUCCUACGGGAGGCAGCAGUGGGGAAUUUUGGACAAUGGGCGAAAGCCUGAUCCAGCAAUGCCGCGUGUGUGAUGAAGGCCUUCGGGUUGUAAAGCACUUUUGGCGGGAACGAAAAGGACUGUGCCAAUACCACGGUUCGAUGACGGUACCCGCAGAAUAAGCACCGGCUAACUACGU
This 482-nucleotide ribosomal RNA is filed under the name uncultured bacterium. Its description in RNAcentral is "partial 16S ribosomal RNA". It matches the Rfam family "Bacterial small subunit ribosomal RNA", at positions 29 to 506 of the family's 1533-position model. The record is from RNAcentral.